This 314-nucleotide unclassified non-coding RNA is filed under the name uncultured fungus. RNAcentral's name for it is "partial contains 5.8S ribosomal RNA and internal transcribed spacer 2". The stretch from base 1 to 133 matches the Rfam family "5.8S ribosomal RNA", at positions 22 to 154 of the family's 154-position model. The record is from RNAcentral. Lineage: Eukaryota; Fungi.
UGGCUCUCGCAUCGAUGAAGAACGCAGCGAAACGCGAUAAGUAAUGUGAAUUGCAGAAUUCAGUGAAUCAUCGAAUCUUUGAACGCACCUUGCGCCCUCUGGUAUUCCGGAGGGCAUGCCUGUUUGAGUGUCAUGUAGACUUCAAUCCUCGGGGGUUUCCCGAGGAUCGGACUUGGGCGUUGCCUCUGGCUCGCCUUAAAUGCCUCAGCUGUGGAGUGUCAGUGGACGUAAUAAGCUUCGUCCCCAAAGCACGAUGUGGCUCAUAACCCCAUCUUUUUGACUUGGACCUCAGAUCAGGUAGGACUACCCGCUGA